Non-coding RNA from Ornithorhynchus anatinus (platypus), 138 nucleotides. Lineage: Eukaryota; Metazoa; Chordata; Mammalia; Monotremata; Ornithorhynchidae. The record is from Rfam.
ACCCUCUAAGGGUCGCCCCUGGAGAGAUUCCAGUCCUCUUCCAGUCUCGACUACAGGAGGGAGAGUCUAACAGAGGCCUUCCCAUUCCAUUCCUAGCUUGGCCAGUGGCUAGUGAGUGGAAGGCCAUCUGUUACAAGU